Molecule: long non-coding RNA, 2093 nt
Organism: Sparus aurata (gilthead seabream)
Lineage: Eukaryota; Metazoa; Chordata; Actinopteri; Spariformes; Sparidae
Source: Ensembl
ACUAAAAGUAAUUCAUAAAUGUUUAAAAUAAAGCUAAUAAAUGCUGGCAAAAUGGUUGACAGAUUGGUAAAAGUAAUGGAUAAACAGAUAGAUGGUGAAUAGUUGAAACAAUUAGCUAAAAGUCGUUGAUAAAUGGUUCAAAACAGAUUGAAACAAGUCAUGAAUGGAGGCUAGUUGAAGCUGUUAACCUUGCUAAAGUAAUGGAUACACAGUCGACACAGGUUAAAGUAAUGAAUUAACAGUUAGCUGGUUUAAAUGGGACAGCUAAACAAAAUGGAUACAAAGUGAAAUAGCAAAUAGCAGCCUUAGUAAUGGAUAAAAUGGCAAUUUAGGCUAAGGUAAGCUAAAAGUUAGCCAAUGUUAAAGAUGCACAAAACACACAUAAGCAAUAGAAGCAUACAUGAGAUAAGACGUAUUGUAGAAUGAUCCUUAAUGUUUUCAUGUUUUUUAAUUCAACACUGAGUUUGACUUUCCCUCUUUUAUUUUGCAGGCGAAUGGCCCGACUUCCCCUUUUGGUUCUGGUUCCCCCUGCAGGGCUUGAUGCUGACGGCUGCUGUCAGAGGAUACAGGAAGUAGGCCGGCACCAGCACGGAGCCAUGUUGGAGAGGUCACUGUCAGCUGUUUUGCACUGCAGGCUGCUGCCUCUGGGUGGCAAUGUGUUAAAAUAGCACCAGGACAAGUUGGACUUUUUGCUGAACAUCAACACUUAAUAACACAAACAGGACUUGCGCUGCGGUGUGCGACGCAGACAGGAUUCUUUGGCUGGUUUUCAAGCAACAGAUUACACAAGAUAAUGCCUUAAGGUCGGAGGGGGAAAAAAAAAGUGCAUUUUUAUACUUCUUUGGAUCUAAACACGGGGCUUUGGGUAGAGGAGGCUAAUGCCGAGCCAAAAUGACAGACGCUCUCAGACAGUUGCACACAUCGCGCACGCACACAACACAAGUCCUCUGCUGCCAAAGAACCUCUUCAGCCCGAGCAUUUCAUCUAUGAGAUAAAACAGAGCUGAAAUAAGCUAGUUCGGUUGCCAAUAGAGGCAAGGGGAGAGGAGAAACAGCGAGAGAGAGAGAGAGAGAGAGAGAAAGGAGAGAGACAGGGAGGAGGGGGAGUGAAGAGAAAGCGGGAGGGAGAAAAAAGGGUGAUGAUAAAACUCCACUGUGAGCCCUCCUGUAAGCUCAGUCAGAGCAAAAGGAGCAACUGAGACCAGAGGGACAACGGAGAGCCGACAGAAGAGGGAAGCUACCGCCAAACAAAUCACAGCACUCUGACGUGAGACUCGCACGUGGCCUGUCGGAGGAAGCACCUGAGCUGACACUGCUAACUGCAGAGCUUUACGUUUUCGUGAAAGUGCUGAGGAACGAACUUAUACUAUAAGGAGACAAGAAGGAAUCAAAGCUCCUGGACCUCAUCCAUCUCCCGCUGGUCGAUUUUGUACACUGAGCUGCUUCUUUUGAUCCGGACUUUGGUGGAUCCUGCAGCGCUCUCACACCAGCAACAACCCUGCUGGAGUCUGGAUCCACUGCUCAGUGUGAGAAGCAGCAGGAGAGAGCUGAGGAGGAAAAGGAGAAUAUUGCCAUCCAUCUCUCAGCCCCCCCUCCCGGGCAGCCCACCCUCAGCUUCUGACGCCCCUCCUCUCUGCCUCUUCUUUUGCCCCCUGUACACCCCCUCCUCCUCCUCCUCCUCCACCUCCUCCUCCUCCUCCUCCACACCUCACCCCCCAACAGAGCAGAAAGCGUGAAAAAUCUCACUAAUGGGUUUAUUUGCUGUCAGAUCUGCGCCGAUCUGUCAUUCCCUUGGACCAUUCUGCUUGACACAUUUCAUAGUUGAGUAAGCCUCCUGGCUUCUCUGGCUAGAGUUAACAGUGCCCCUGCAACGCUGCGCUGGCUGAGAGCUCAUCAAGAAGGGGAGCAACGGCGGCAGCAGUCAGUCUGACAGUCUCUUCUUGGACGGGGAGUCCCUGAAGCUGCAUUCCUCUGGUCUCCUUCUCCCCCCCCCCCCCUCCCCGUUGGGACUUUUGUGUUUUUGUGAGCCUCGUGGGCAUCCUCAAGCUUUCUGUCCUCGGCACAAGAUUCAGGCGUUUUGUGUUUUUUCUGCAG